CGAACCGUCCGCUUGGGAGAGCGAACGGUUUAACGGACCACCAUCGGCUUUGGGAGAGGCCGGUCGCGGUUUUGCAAGGGGAGAUCUGCGAUGGAGAACACGAGUCUCGUCGCGCUAUCGCGCCAGAUGACGCUUG
The sequence is a regulatory RNA element, 136 nucleotides long. It matches the Rfam family "flg-Rhizobiales RNA". The record is from Rfam.